Long non-coding RNA from Ipomoea nil (Japanese morning glory), 846 nucleotides. RefSeq lists it as uncharacterized. NCBI's taxonomy places the organism in Eukaryota, Viridiplantae, Streptophyta, Magnoliopsida, Solanales, Convolvulaceae. The record is from RefSeq and is a predicted model, not a curated record. The transcript has 3 exons.
CGGAGCGGAAAAAAAACGAAGAAGAAGAAGAAAUCUGAACACAGAAGAAGAGGAUUUCCGAUUUUGUUGCAGGAAAUCGCAGCACAGAAAUGGCGUUCUCUCUUCUUUUGUUUCUGAGUUUGAUUUUCUGUGUUAUUGUGAUGCUAAGCCCCUACUUGGCUUCCGCGGCGGCGGCGGCGAGCGGGGACAGCGAAUUGGUGAGCUGGAUGAUGCCGGCGGGAGGUGCAGGGGCAUGGUGGAGUGCCUGUCGGAGGCGGAGGAGCUGAAGAUGGAGAACAAAUCGAGCCGGCGCAUAUUAGCCACCACGUGGUACAUCAGCUACGGUGAGAUCUCUAUCUAUCUUGUUGGCCGAAUGCUUUCACCUGAUAUCAUCAAGACUUUAAUGGGCGAUGACUUCGCUGCAGACUUCUCAAAGGUUUGCAUUCGCGAACAAGACAAUGAAAUGUCAAGAAAGUUAAUGGGCUUGCUUAGGAAGUACCAUCAAAGUGAUCAAUCAUAUUAUCAAAUUAUGUCACCUUGUGAGGCAAGGUGAACAACCCAGAGAAGGGCGUUUUUAUCUGCCUUUUUCAAUUGGCAAUCAUCACAGAGUCAGGUGUUUCGUCCAGUUAUGGUCCUUGAUCCUUCGCUGAAAAAGAAGUGAAAGUGGGAGUCAAUGAUGCACUCGGGAUCAAAGCCGUGAGGUUCUGCGUCUGUCUGGAUGGAAGGAAUAUUAGGUAGACGCUAUACACUUGCUUUGAUGCCUGGAGAACAAACAAGAGUCAAGAAGGGAAAGGGGGGCAAAAGAAAAGUAAAAUGACCAUCUUUGCCUUUCAUAAUUCUGUGUUUAAAAAUGUUGAGUUAUAUCUU